This 101-nucleotide ribosomal RNA is filed under the name uncultured bacterium. RNAcentral describes it as "partial 16S ribosomal RNA". The record is from RNAcentral.
UGGGCGCAGCCUGAUCCAGCAAUGCCGCGUGUGUGAUGAAGGCCUUCGGGUUGUAAAGCUCUUUUGUCAGGGAAGAAACGGACCGGGCUAAUAUCCUGGGC